GAUAAACGCUGGCGGCGUGCCUAACACAUGCAAGUCGAACGCUCUGCGCAAGCAGGGAGUGGCGGACGGGUGAGUAACACGUGGGUCAUCUACCAUCAGGUGAGGAAUACCGGCGAGAAAUCGCCGACAAUACCGCAUACGCUCGUAAGAGCAAAGCUCGCAAGGGCGCCUGAGGAUGAGCCUGCGCUCGAUUAGUUCGUUGGUGAGGUAAUGGCUUACCAAGACGACGAUCGAUAGCUGGUCUGAGAGGACGAUCAGCCACACUGGGAUUGAGAACGGCCCAGACUCCUACGGGGGGCAGCAGUGAGGAAUUUUCGUCAAUGGGGGCAACCCUGAACGAGCAACGCCGCGUGCAGGAUGACGGUUUUCGGAUCGUAAACUGCUUUUCUCUGGGACGAGAACGGACGGUACCAGAGGAAUCAGCCCCGGCUAACUACGUGCCAGCCGCCGCAGUAA
This 456-nucleotide ribosomal RNA is filed under the name uncultured bacterium. Its description in RNAcentral is "partial 16S ribosomal RNA". It matches the Rfam family "Bacterial small subunit ribosomal RNA", at positions 28 to 523 of the family's 1533-position model. The record is from RNAcentral.